RNAcentral lists this ribosomal RNA (400 nucleotides) under phytoplankton environmental sample. Its description in RNAcentral is "partial small subunit ribosomal RNA". It matches the Rfam family "Eukaryotic small subunit ribosomal RNA", at positions 587 to 991 of the family's 1831-position model. The record is from RNAcentral.
AGCUCCAAUAGCGUAUAUUACAGUUGUUGCGGUUAAAAAGCUCGUAGUUGGACUUCUGCUGAGGACGACCGGUCCGCCCUCUGGGUGAGUAUCUGGCUCGGCCUGGGCAUCUUCUUGGAGAACGUAGCUGCACUUGACUGUGUGGUGCGGUAUCCAGGACUUUUACUUUGAGGAAAUUAGAGUGUUUCAAGCAGGCACACGCCUUGAAUACAUUAGCAUGGAAUAAUAAGAUAGGACCUCGGUUCUAUUUUGUUGGUUUCUAGAGCUGAGGUAAUGGUUAAUAGGGAUAGUUGGGGGCAUUCGUAUUUAACUGUUAGAGGUGAAAUUCUUGGAUUUGUUAAAGACGGACUACUGCGAAAGCAUUUGCCAAGGAUGUUUUCAUUGAUCAAGAACGAAAGUA